RNAcentral lists this unclassified non-coding RNA (328 nucleotides) under soil metagenome. Its description in RNAcentral is "partial contains 5.8S ribosomal RNA, internal transcribed spacer 2, and large subunit ribosomal RNA". The stretch from base 1 to 120 matches the Rfam family "5.8S ribosomal RNA", at positions 35 to 154 of the family's 154-position model. The record is from RNAcentral.
GAUGAAGAACGCAGCGAAAUGCGAUAAGUAAUGUGAAUUGCAGAAUUCGGUGAAUCAUCGAAUCUUUGAACGCACAUUGCGCCCCCUGGUAUUCCGGGGGGCAUGCCUGUUCGAGCGUCAUUUCAACCCUCAAGCUCUGCUUGGUAUUGAGUCCAUGUCAGCAAUGGCAGGCUCCAAAAUCAGUGGCGGCGCCGCUGGGUCCUGAACGUAGUAAUAUCUCUCGUUACAGGUGCUCGGCGUGCUUCUGCCAAAACCCCAAUUUUUCUAUGGUUGACCUCGGAUCAGGUAGGGAUACCCGCUGAACUUAAGCAUAUCAAUAAGCGGAGGA